GUAGGUGGCAAGCGUUGUCCGGAAUUAUUGGGCGUAAAGCGCGCGCAGGCGGUUCUUUAAGUCUGAUGUGAAAGCCCACGGCUCAACCGUGGAGGGUCAUUGGAAACUGGAGAACUUGAGUACAGAAGAGGAAAGCGGAAUUCCACGUGUAGCGGUUAAAUGCGUAGAGAUGUGGAGGAACACCAGUGGCGAAGGCGGCUUUCUGGUCUGUAACUGACGCUGAGGCGCGAAAGCGUGGGGAGCAAACAGGGAUUAGAUACCCCGGUAGUCCACGCCGUAAACGAUGAGUGCUAAGUGUUAGGGGGUUUCCCGCCCCUUAGUGCUGCAGCUAACGCAUUAAGCACCCCGCCUGGGGAGUACGGCCGCAAGGCUG
Molecule: ribosomal RNA, 373 nt
Filed under: uncultured organism
Description: partial 16S ribosomal RNA
Rfam family: Bacterial small subunit ribosomal RNA
Source: RNAcentral